GACGAACGCUGGCGGCGUGCUUAACACAUGCAAGUCGAACGGUGAAGCGCCUUCCUUUUUGGUGGGUGUGGAUGAGUGGCGAACGGGUGAGUAACACGUGAGUAACCUGCCCCCUUCUGCUGGAUAACCGCAUGAAAGUGUGGCUAAUACGGGAUAUUCUGGGUCUGUCGCAUGAUGGGUCUGGGUAAGAUAUUGUUUCGGUGGGGGAUGGGCUCGCGGCGUAUCAGCUGGUUGGUGGGGUGGUGGCCUACCAAGGCGGUGACGGGCAGCCGGCCUGAGAGGGUGGACGGCCACAGUGGGAGGGAGAGAUGGUCCAGACUACGACGGGAGCCCGCAGGGGGGACUAUUGGACGAUGGGCGUAAGGAUGAUGCAGCGACGCCGCGGGGGGGAUGGCGGCCUUGGGGUGUUGAACCUCUUUCGCCAGGGAAGCAGGCCUGCCUUGUCUGUGGGUGGGUUGACGGUAGCUGGAUAAGAAGCGCCGGCUAACUACGUG
RNAcentral lists this ribosomal RNA (494 nucleotides) under uncultured bacterium. RNAcentral describes it as "partial 16S ribosomal RNA". It matches the Rfam family "Bacterial small subunit ribosomal RNA", at positions 28 to 507 of the family's 1533-position model. The record is from RNAcentral.